AAACUAACAAGGAUUCCCCUAGUAACGGCGAGUGAACCGGGAAGAGCUCAAAUUUGAAAUCUGGCGUGCUCAGUGCGUCCGAGUUGUAAUCUAUAGAGGCGUUUUCCGUGCCGGACUGUGUCCAAGUCCCUUGGAACAGGGUAUCAAAGAGGGUGAUAAUCCCGUACUUGACACAAUGACCGGUGCUCUGUGAUACGUCUUCUACGAGUCGAGUUGUUUGGGAAUGCAGCUCAAAAUGGGUGGUGAGUUCCAUCUAAAGCUAAAUAUUGGCGAGAGACCGAUAGCGAACAAGUACCGUGAGGGAAAGAUGAAAAGCACUUUGGAAAGAGAGUUAAACAGUACGUGAAAUUGUUGAAAGGGAAACGAUUGAAGUCAGUCGUGACUGAGAGGCUCAGCCGGUUCUGCCGGUGUAUUCCCCUCAGUCGGGUCAACAUCAGUUUUGUUCGGUGGAUAAGGGCAGUUGGAAGGUGGCACCCUCGGGUGUGUUAUAGCCAGCUGUCGCAUACAUCGGAUGAGACUGAGGAAUGCAGCUCGCCUUUAUGGCCGGGGUCGCCCACGU
Molecule: ribosomal RNA, 559 nt
Filed under: Cryptococcus sp. DMKU-Y43-B
Lineage: Eukaryota; Fungi; Basidiomycota; Tremellomycetes; Tremellales; Cryptococcaceae
Description: eukaryotic LSU rRNA
Rfam family: Eukaryotic large subunit ribosomal RNA
Source: RNAcentral